RNAcentral lists this ribosomal RNA (267 nucleotides) under uncultured Glomus. RNAcentral describes it as "partial small subunit ribosomal RNA". It matches the Rfam family "Eukaryotic small subunit ribosomal RNA", at positions 605 to 877 of the family's 1831-position model. Lineage: Eukaryota; Fungi; Glomeromycota; Glomeromycetes; Glomerales; Glomeraceae. The record is from RNAcentral.
UAAAGUUGUUGCAGUUAAAAAGCUUGUAGUUGAAUUUCGGGGUCAGCAAGUUGGUCGUGCCGCUGGUAUGUACUGGCUUUACUGAUUCCUCCUUCUUGCAGAACCGUAUGCCAUUAAUUUGGUGUUGCGGGGAAACAGGACUGUUACUUUGAAAAAAUUAGAGUGUUUAAAGCAGGCUAACGCUUGAAUACAUUAGCAUGGAAUAAUGAAAUAGGACGUUCGAUCCUAUUUUGUUGGUUUCUAGGAUUGACGUAAUGAUUAAUAGGG